GGGUUGUGAGGUUAAGCGACUAAGCGUACACGGUGGAUGCCCUGGCAGUCAGAGGCGAUGAAGGGCGUGCUAAUCUGCGAUAAGCGCCGGUAAGGUGAUAUGAACCGUUAUAACCGGCGAUACCCGAAUGGGGAAACCCAGUGUGAUUCGUCACACUAUCAUUACGUGAAUACAUAGCGUAAUGAAGCGAACCGGGGGAACUGAAACAUCUAAGUACCCCGAGGAAAAGAAAUCAACCGAGAUUCCCCCAGUAGCGGCGAGCGAACGGGGAGGAGCCCAGAGCCUGAAUCAGCAUGUGUGUUAGUGGAAGCGUCUGGAAAGGCGCGCGAUACAGGGUGACAGCCCCGUACACAAAAGCGCAUGUGUUGUGAGCUCGAUGAGUAGGGCGGGACACGUGGUAUCCUGUCUGAAUAUGGGGGGACCAUCCUCCAAGGCUAAAUACUCCUGACUGACCGAUAGUGAACCAGUACCGUGAGGGAAAGGCGAAAAGAACCCCGGCGAGGGGAGUGAAAAAGAACCUGAAACCGUGUACGUACAAGCAGUGGGAGCACCCUUCGGGGUGUGACUGCGUACCUUUUGUAUAAUGGGUCAGCGACUUAUAUUCUGUAGCAAGGUUAACCGAAUAGGGGAGCCGGAGGGAAACCGAGUCUUAAUUGGGCGUUAAGUUGCAGGGUAUAGACCCGAAACCCGGUGAUCUAGCCAUGGGCAGGUUGAAGGUUGGGUAACACUAACUGGAGGACCGAACCGACUAAUGUUGAAAAAUUAGCGGAUGACCUGUGGCUGGGGGUGAAAGGCCAAUCAAACCGGGAGAUAGCUGGUUCUCCCCGAAAGCUAUUUAGGUAGCGCCUCGUGAACUCAUCUCCGGGGGUAGAGCACUGUUUCGGCUAGGGGGCCAUCCCGGCUUACCAACCCGAUGCAAACUGCGAAUACCGGAGAAUGUUAUCACGGGAGACACACGGCGGGUGCUAACGUCCGUCGUGAAGAGGGAAACAACCCAGACCGCCAGCUAAGGUCCCAAAGUCAUAGUUAAGUGGGAAACGAUGUGGGAAGGCCCAGACAGCCAGGAUGUUGGCUUAGAAGCAGCCAUCAUUUAAAGAAAGCGUAAUAGCUCACUGGUCGAGUCGGCCUGCGCGGAAGAUGUAACGGGGCUAAACUAUGCACCGAAGCUGCGGCAGCGACACUAUGUGUUGUUGGGUAGGGGAGCGUUCUGUAAGCCUGUGAAGGUGUGUCGUGAGGC
RNAcentral lists this ribosomal RNA (1237 nucleotides) under Salmonella enterica. Its description in RNAcentral is "partial 23S ribosomal RNA". It matches the Rfam family "Bacterial large subunit ribosomal RNA", at positions 1 to 1269 of the family's 2925-position model. The record is from RNAcentral. Lineage: Bacteria; Pseudomonadati; Pseudomonadota; Gammaproteobacteria; Enterobacterales; Enterobacteriaceae.